CUACAGUCAUACCACCCUGAGCAUGCCAGAUCUGGUCUGAUCUCAGAAACUAAGUAGGAUAGGGCUUUAAUAGUACCUGGAUAGUAGGAAAACAAAGAUAUGAAAUAGA
RNAcentral lists this ribosomal RNA (109 nucleotides) under Castor canadensis (American beaver). The record is from RNAcentral. Lineage: Eukaryota; Metazoa; Chordata; Mammalia; Rodentia; Castoridae.